Molecule: non-coding RNA, 211 nt
Organism: Pelobates cultripes (western spadefoot toad)
Lineage: Eukaryota; Metazoa; Chordata; Amphibia; Anura; Pelobatidae
Source: the annotation of a GenBank genome assembly
GAUGCAUUAUAUGAAGCAAUUGAAUAAUUCUGAGACUGGAUUAGUUGCAUUUUCAGUUGAAUUUAGUGAAGCAUUGAGAAGCAUUCGAUGUGUUGAGCUUUUUUAAUUGAUUUUGUUUGAUUUGUUCAUUACAAACAGCUGAGAGUUACAACUGUAUGUGUGGAUAAUGUUUUAAUUUGUGGAUUAGUCAUAUGUGAGAAGUUAGGGUAUG